GGGAGGGAAGCAAGGGACAGCCCAGAGGGCACUGUAAGGGAGGAGGGGGGGACCAUUGGGACCGCCCCCUUUGACCAAGCCCAGCCACUUCUCGGCUGCUUGCAACCCCCUAGCACAGAAACAGUUGCAGAAUCGCAGACUCGUUUCCCCCAGAAAAUAGGAGGAAAGGGACUUUGGCGGGUGGGGAAGGGGUAGUGGUGUUUUAAAAGCAUAAGUUACCUGUUUGCACUGUUUUAAGAUAGGAAAAAAAAAUAGUGGGCAAGGUGAACAUCCAACGUAAAUUUGUGUGUUUUUAUUUUGUCAUGCUCUUGAAAAUGUUUGACCGUUUGUAGUAUCCACCAGUGAAACCUGAUUCUCUGUUGCAUAAAACACGAUUUUUUUGGAAAUGUUACUGUCCGAAAGCCUCUUCCCUCCCUUUCCCCUUUGCUGUGUUCUUCCUUCAUCCUCACUUGACUGAUCAACCAGGCAAUAGCCAUCCAGGAGCUAGAGUGUGAAGCAGGGCCCUUCCCAAGUAGACUCUGGGUGUCCUAAGCCAGCAUGUGCCCUCUGGUUUAGCGAGUGCCGUUGAGUCCCUGGCCCCCAUCUUUAAAAUAAGGCUCACAGACCAGGCUGCAGCAGGUUCUCAAAUUCCCGAAUCAGAUGCACUAGGGAGGAGGAGCCAAGGGGCGGAGGGGAGUCCUCGAAUAUGGCGGGUGGCCGCAGUAGCUGAGUUCUCCACGUUACCGGAACUGUAGCCAGUUACAGAUUACUCAGGAAAACGGUCGAUCACUUCAGCCAUGGUAGUGCUGGUUGGCAGGGCUUGGUAACGGAGAGAACUGCUCAUCGGCCACAACUCAAACCUUGCCUUUAAGGGGAUUGCCAGCCGGGGCCCCUCCGCCUGGCAGUGACACACGCACCUGCCAGUGUGGUGAGGGCUCAGCUCACACCAGCCAGCAAAAAGGGAACAGCGAUGCUCUUCUCUCCCCCCUACCACCCGCCCCUGUUACCAACGCCAGAUUCCCAGGGGGUGCGUACGUUUUUGAAUUUUUUAAAAAUGUUUUUUGGUUUGGUUUUUCCGGGGACUGAUGAGUGCUUUAAGCAACGUCGAUACCCCACCCAGACCCUGAGCUUUGUCAUUUUCUUGUAUUUUUCUGUUCACAGUAUUGUGUGUGUGUGUGUGCUUGUCUUGGCAGCUCAUUUUGGCUGUAUUAUAUAUCGAGUGAUGAAUUGAUCCUCCUUUUUUUUUUUUUCCCCCUAAGGGAUAUGAAUUGUUUUUUUCUUGUGUUAUAAUUCUGCUUGUGAAUAGCUGGAGCAAACCUGGGGCUGACACACGUAAGCUAGGGCUGCAAAGUGCUGAGAGAGCCGGGCAGGGUGGCUUGUCCCUGACAGGCUGACCCACCUGAGUCUCUGAGCUUUUCAGUCCAAAUCUCUGCAAGGCUAAAAAUGCCACCGAACCUCCCCUCUUGUCCCCGCUCCCCGUGGCAGGGACGAAACCAUCCCUACAUGCAACGUGCAGUUUCUCCGGCCCCCUCCCAUUGCCAUGGCAAAACAGGUACCUAUGGGGCAUGGGGGCAUCACAUGGGAUGCUUGUAUAAUCGACCACCUCACCUUUUCUCCCCCCUCCGCACCACCCCCCCCCACCCCCGAAUCUCUUCCUAGGACACCCGAGCUGCUUGCCCAGGGUCCUGUUUCCCUACAAACUCCAGAGAAGCACCCAGGGCUUUGUGACAGUCUCUAAUUCCCUCCCCUUCUUGUUAAGAAUCAUAUUGUAUAGUAGCUUUCAGACCAUACAGUAUUCAUUGGGUUACUCCUAUUAUUAUCAAGUAGCUGGAAUUGUGAAGGUCGGAGUAGUUAGAUCUUUAGCUUUUAUUCCUUAUUUUUUUGUAUUACUAUCCAUGUGUAUAAAUUAUUGAUCAUGUUGCUGGCUUUUAUAAACUCUAAGCGAAGGAGGAGCACUGCCUCUGCCUUUGCAAAUGGUAAUGAAGCACUGUUUUUAAAUAAAAGGAGAAA
This 1989-nucleotide long non-coding RNA is filed under the name Balaenoptera musculus (blue whale). RNAcentral's name for it is "lncRNA (ENSBMSG00010008774.1)". Lineage: Eukaryota; Metazoa; Chordata; Mammalia; Artiodactyla; Balaenopteridae. The record is from RNAcentral.